UAAUAGCCACACACGUAAACAAUUAAAACACAAAAUAAAAACACGUGCCAGAGCCGAAUCCAACCACGUCCCGAAAUUGUCUUCUUCGAGGAGGAAGAAAACACGAACUAGACACGAACCAAACACGAACCGAACACUUAAUUGACCAAGAAGGAGGAAAGCAGACAUCUCCACCACCACUACCACCACCGUCUCAUCACCACCUGUCAUCACCACCUCGACCAAAGAACCAAAAGUCAUCACCAAACUGAGGCAACGUAAACACCACCACGUCAUCUUCGUCACCUGAAACGAAGUCAUCGGCAGCUCAAACCAUCCUAACCUAACCCUCGUCCUUCCCUAAACCCAUCACACACUUAAGUCAAUUUUACCCUAAACUAAAACUAAUCUAACAUUGCUCCAACCCUAUUCCUUUCCCACUACUCAUAUCGAUUUUAUCUUGACUUAAAACUAACCUAAUCCAAAUACUACCUUAACUUUACCCAAAUAUCCCAAACUAAGUCAAAUUUACCUUAAACUAAAACUACCGUAACCUUGAUCACACCCUAAUCUUACCCCAAUGUAACCUUCCACACCACCGCAAACCACCGCUGCAAGUCUCGUACCCACACCCCAUACCAAACCACCACCAUGACGCCCGCCACCGCACCAUCGCGCCGGCAGGUCCUACAGCUCUAUCGCGCACUUCUCACCUACGGACGCACCCUAGAGCUGACAGACCCCGAGUAUUACUAUGCCAGAGUGCGACGGGAGUUUCAGGCCCACAAGAACUUGACGUCGGAGAAGGAGCGAGUCUUUUACUUCCAAAAGGGCUUGAGCUUCCUGACUAAACUGAGGUUGCUGUGAAGUUGAGGGUGUUGAAGGGGGGCAAGGAGGAGGUGGUGGUGGAUGUAGAGGUGGAGAAGGGAUGUAUGGAGAAGGAGUGAUGAUGUGGAAGAGGAAGGAGUGAAUGGAUAUGAGAAAAGAAGGGAGAGAGAGAAGGAUGGAGUAGAAGGUAUGAAGAAGAAAGAGAGGAAGAAAGGAUGGAUGGAAGGGAGAAAGGAAAUAAUGGAAUAGAAGCAAGGUGGGAAUGAGGAAGAAAUGGAAGAGAGAAAGGGAAAGGAAGAGAAGGAAUGGAGAAGAAAAUGAAGAAGUAAAGAAAACAACAAAGGAAAGAAUGAAGAAAGGAAAAAAUGGAAUGAAAAAGACUGAAAAAAAGGGAGAAAUAAAGACCUAGGGGAGCUUUUUCUACUUCUAAAAAGGACUCCACUUCUUAACUAAACUUUGAGUACAGUGAGAAUACCAGUAAUGAUCAUAAUAUUAAUGUAGUAACAAGGCUUUCAUCAGUUAACUCAUUGCUCUUCCUCGUACAAACAUGUGAAGUUAUACCAUUUUUUCAACUUUUUCACUUUUUUUUUAUCUGGUAGCGAGACUUAUUAGGUGAAUCAUGUGCAUUAUUAGUAUUUCUUUAGGAUUUGUAUUUCUGCUUCCAUUGUGUCCUCACCUCACUUGUACAUAGAAGAGGUGUGAAUGGGUGGAAGGCUUUGUACAUAUAUUAGUACUUUGAUAAUAAAAAUGUAAAAAGUU
Molecule: long non-coding RNA, 1566 nt
Organism: Eriocheir sinensis (Chinese mitten crab)
Lineage: Eukaryota; Metazoa; Arthropoda; Malacostraca; Decapoda; Varunidae
Exons: 2
Source: RefSeq, a predicted model, not a curated record